GCGGGUAGCUCAGUUGGGAGAGCAUCGGCCUUACAAGCCGAGGGUCACAGGU
Molecule: transfer RNA, 52 nt
Filed under: Desulfobacterales bacterium CG23_combo_of_CG06-09_8_20_14_all_51_8
Lineage: Bacteria; Pseudomonadati; Thermodesulfobacteriota; Desulfobacteria; Desulfobacterales
Description: tRNA-Val
Rfam family: tRNA
About the family: Transfer RNA (tRNA) molecules are approximately 80 nucleotides in length.
Source: RNAcentral